Salvia miltiorrhiza (redroot sage) is the source of this 1418-nucleotide RNA transcript. It is a transcript of the gene named PITH domain-containing protein At3g04780, with no coding region annotated. NCBI's taxonomy places the organism in Eukaryota, Viridiplantae, Streptophyta, Magnoliopsida, Lamiales, Lamiaceae. The record is from RefSeq and is a predicted model, not a curated record. The transcript is spliced from 8 exons.
UGAAUGUCGUUGCAAAUUGAAGGCGGUUUUAAAAGUGCGAUAGGUUUUAAAGUCGACAAAUCUGAAUCGAAUAGAGAGGGAAUCGCCCUUUUUUCUUCAUCCCAAUUUUUGAGCAUCACCUUCACCAGCAGCCAUGUCCGCCGAAGCAGCCUCCUCUCUUCAACGAAACCAAGUUGAUUUACUGGAGUUUAUCGAUUGGUCUAGUGUGGAAUGUUUGAAUCAAAAAAGCAGCCACUCCCUUCCUAACGCUCUCAAACAGGGGUACAGGGACGAUGAAGGAUUGAACUUGGAAAGUGAUGCGGAUGAGCAGCUCUUAAUUUACAUUCCCUUUAAUCAAGUUGUUAAAAUUCAUUCCAUAGUAAUUAAAGGGCCAGAGGAGGAAGGUCCAAAAACUGUGAAACUUUUUGCUAACAGGGAGCACAUGGGAUUUAGUAAUGUCAAUGAUUUCCCCCCAAGUGAUACCAUGGUUUUAUCUGAGGAGAACCUUAAGGGGAAACCAGUUAUAUUGAAGUACGUCAAGUUUCAGAAUGUUCGCAGCUUGACAAUCUUCAUUGAGGACAAUCAAUCUGGUUCUGAAAUUUCGAAAGUUCAAAAGAUUGCUCUAUAUGGAACAACGUAAGUUUUCAUUGCACUUCUCCUUUGAACAUCUAUCAAUUUACCGUUGCAAAAUUAAAUUAGAUGAUUUAGCUGCCAAGAGUUUCAAUACCACCAUUUUUACAUGUUUACUAUGAGUCUAUGAUAGAAAAAAAAAAUUGGGCAGGGUGAAAUAUUUUCCCAGGGAGCUCAUUUUCUCUUAAAAGUUGGAUAAUAUUAUCUUUAGGCAAACUCUAUGCCUCGUCUCUAGGGAUGUCAGGUCAACCCACUCGGUUUUGGGAUAGUCUUAUCGAUUUGUAGCCAGUCCUAUUGGUUUGUAGGGUUAUUCAGCUACUAAUUAUCCAGGUUGAAAAAAUUUGGGAUAUAAAUUUUUGACCCGUACUCAAACUUUCGCGUUUUCAAAAAUGUUUAACUUUAUAUAUUUCUCAGGAUUGCUUAAAUAUGCAUAUUCUGCUAGUCAUUGGGAUGAUUUGCCAUGAAAUUCAAAUUUUCCUUGGAUUAUGCAGGGUUCAAACGACGGAUAUGAAAAGUCUGAAGAAGCUCGAGGAGCACUGAGUCCCCUUGAAACGGGCAAGAGACGUCGAAAAUCUUUAUUGCCUUGAAGUAUUUUCAGCAACUUAUUUAAAUAGAGGAAGGGGAAUUGGUUGAAAAGCCUUCCCCCUGUAGUAGAAAAACUCAUUAUUUAUCACCCCUCACAUCUCUCAAUGGUGUAAGUGUAACUGAUGAAUUUGGUAGGUCUCUGUUUUCAUAGACAAAUUUGCAAAUUAUAUUAUUCCCUUUUUCGACAUUGUUAAGAUUGAUCCAAUUGAGAUGGUUAUUUUAAA